GACGAACGCUGGCGGCGUGCCUAAUACAUGCAAGUAGAACGCUGAAGAGAGGAGCUUGCUCUUCUUGGAUGAGUUGCGAACGGGUGAGUAACGCGUAGGUAACCUGCCUUGUAGCGGGGGAUAACUAUUGGAAACGAUAGCUAAUACCGCAUAACAAUGGAUGACACAUGUCAUUUAUUUGAAAGGGGCAAUUGCUCCACUACAAGAUGGACCUGCGUUGUAUUAGCUAGUUGGUGAGGUACUGGCUCACCUAGGCGACGAUACAUAGCCGACCUGAGAGGGUGAUCGGCCACACUGGGACUGAGACACGGCCCAGACGCCUACGGGAGGCAGCAGUAGGGAAUCGGCGGCAAGGGGGGCAACCCUGACCGAGCAACGCCGCGUGAGUGAAGAAGGUUUUCGGAUCGUAAAGCUCUGUUGUAAGUCAAGAACGGGUGUGAGAGUGGAAAGUUCACACUGUGACGGUAGCUUACCAGAAAGGGACGGCUAACUACGUG
This 497-nucleotide ribosomal RNA is filed under the name uncultured bacterium. Its description in RNAcentral is "partial 16S ribosomal RNA". It matches the Rfam family "Bacterial small subunit ribosomal RNA", at positions 28 to 507 of the family's 1533-position model. The record is from RNAcentral.